Long non-coding RNA from Mastomys coucha (southern multimammate mouse), 621 nucleotides. RefSeq lists it as uncharacterized. The transcript is spliced from 3 exons. NCBI's taxonomy places the organism in Eukaryota, Metazoa, Chordata, Mammalia, Rodentia, Muridae. The record is from RefSeq and is a predicted model, not a curated record.
AGAUGGCUGAGCAGUCAUGUCUCCCGUCUAAUUUUUACCUUUCCAUGUGGUGCUCUAUCUUAAGAACCUAGAAUAAUCUUUCCUCUUCCACAAUGAUCCCCGAACCUUAUAAGGAGAGGUUGUGGUGUCCAUGCUCCCUUUAAUGGGGAACCUAGCAAAGCUGUCUUCUAAGAGGCUUUAUCCAGCAGCUGAUGGAAACAAAUACAGAGACCCACAGCCAAACAAUAGGUGGACCUCAAAGAGUCUAAUUAAAGAGUUGGGGAAGCAUUGAGGCAGCCAGAAGAAUCAAGAACACCACAAAAAGACCUACAGAGUCAACUAACCUGGGCCCGGAGGGCCUCACAGUGUCUGAAUGACCAACAAAAGAGCAUGUAUGGGCUGAACCUAGGCCCCUUAACACAGAUGUAGCAGAUGAAUAGCUUGUUCUUCAUGCAGGUCCCCGAACAAUUAGAGUGGAGACUCUGUUACCUGCUUAUAGAUCCUGUUCCCCUAACAGGGUUGCCUUACCUAGCUUCAAUGGGAGAGGAUGCCCUUAGUCCUGCUGUGAUUUGAUAUAUCAGGGUGGGUUGGUACCCAUGGGGAAAAGAGAAUGGGGGAAUUUUCUCUGAGGAAAAGGGAAUG